UCAACCGCUCACCCCUCCCGGAGCCGCCGCCGGCGGGCGGUCAACGCUGCCCGGGUCGCGCCAUGGCCGUGAAGGACGCGGAGGAGCCGUUCAGCACGGCGAAGCCCACCCGGAAGGCUCCGAGGCCGCCGCUUACCCGCCCGGUAAACCCCGUGGGUAACACCAAGCAGCAAUGGCAAGAAGACUAAAAAUUAGAGAAGAUGCUCUCAGCUUUAUGGAUCUUGGAGAUGCCACAGUUACACAACAUUUCCCCACCAAACACUGCUGAAUGCAGAAUGUGGGCACUGGACAAACGGCUUCUCCUUCUUGUUCCAGCAACACCAGCAUCUUCACUCUUGCCAUACAUAUUUCAAGAAGAUGGUUACGCUUACACAGCUUCUGUUGCACAGAUUCAGUUCCUUUAAAUUACCUGCAGAGAGGCAGAGAUUUGGCCCUUAAUGAAUUUAAUUCGUUUCACUUGGCUGCCGGUAGAUGGCUCCCUAAAUUUGCAGUCCCUUAUUUACUACAUUGUUUAUUGAAUGAUGUGGGACACAUUUUCAGUGGAAAAUGUUUCCAGUGUGUUUGCUUGGAGGAAGUUUACGUAAGAAGAACAAGGAAGCAAUGGACUGAGUAAAUAGACCGUUACCAAACAAGACACAGGAUUGGUUUGCUUUUUGCAAAAUGGUUUUGGGCUGCCAUCCAAAAGGCUUUUCUUGUGCAGGACUUGUAACUCAUUGAGCCUGAUAAUUAUAAGAUCAUCUGUGUUUGCAGGAUGCAUU
Long non-coding RNA from Melopsittacus undulatus (budgerigar), 758 nucleotides. RefSeq lists it as uncharacterized. The record is from RefSeq and is a predicted model, not a curated record. The transcript has 3 exons. NCBI's taxonomy places the organism in Eukaryota, Metazoa, Chordata, Aves, Psittaciformes, Psittaculidae.